This 20-nucleotide small nuclear RNA is filed under the name Arabidopsis thaliana (thale cress). RNAcentral describes it as "snRNA_10323". The record is from RNAcentral. Lineage: Eukaryota; Viridiplantae; Streptophyta; Magnoliopsida; Brassicales; Brassicaceae.
UUAGUGCUGGUAUGAUCGCA